This 541-nucleotide long non-coding RNA is filed under the name Capsicum annuum. RNAcentral describes it as "long non-coding RNA (CANN_LNC010414)". Lineage: Eukaryota; Viridiplantae; Streptophyta; Magnoliopsida; Solanales; Solanaceae. The record is from RNAcentral.
GGUGGGGGUAAGAUGUACGCAGUCCAUACCUCUACCUCUGAUGAAGUAGAAAGGUUGUUUCCGAUAGACCCUCGGCUCAAGGCACGAGAUACCACACAAACACAUAGUGCAGCACAGAAGCAGAUUACAUAACAUAAAUACGGAACCCAUAAGUAAUAUAAAGCAGAGGAAAGCAGGGGAAAGCACACAGAUUCAUAAUACAACAUGGAACACGGAACACGGAAUCAUGACAAGAAUAAAACCCCCACCACCCUCCAUACCUUCCUAUCUAGGGUCAUGUCCUGGGUGAGCUGUAACUGUUCCAUGUCCCGCCUAACCACCUCACCCCAGUACUUCUUUGGCCUACCCCUACCCCGCCUAAAACCAUCCAACGCUAGCCUCUCACACCUACGGACCGGGGCAUCCAUGCCCCUCCUCUUCACGUGUCCGAACCAUCUCAAUCGUGCUUCCCGCAUCUUACACUCCACUGAAGUCACACCAACCUUCUCCCGGAUAGUCUCAUUCCGAACUCUAUCCCCUCGAGUCAGUCCACACAUCCAGC